This 629-nucleotide ribosomal RNA is filed under the name Pseudomonas sp. Horo_8. Its description in RNAcentral is "bacterial SSU rRNA". It matches the Rfam family "Bacterial small subunit ribosomal RNA", at positions 57 to 682 of the family's 1533-position model. The record is from RNAcentral. Lineage: Bacteria; Pseudomonadati; Pseudomonadota; Gammaproteobacteria; Pseudomonadales; Pseudomonadaceae.
GCAGUCGAGCGGAUGAAGGGAGCUUGCUCCUGGAUUCAGCGGCGGACGGGUGAGUAAUGCCUAGGAAUCUGCCUGGUAGUGGGGGAUAACGUCCGGAAACGGGCGCUAAUACCGCAUACGUCCUGAGGGAGAAAGUGGGGGAUCUUCGGACCUCACGCUAUCAGAUGAGCCUAGGUCGGAUUAGCUAGUUGGUGGGGUAAAGGCCUACCAAGGCGACGAUCCGUAUCUGGUCUGAGAGGAUGAUCAGUCACACUGGAACUGAGACACGGUCCAGACUCCUACGGGAGGCAGCAGUGGGGAAUAUUGGACAAUGGGCGAAAGCCUGAUCCAGCCAUGCCGCGUGUGUGAAGAAGGUCUUCGGAUUGUAAAGCACUUUAAGUUGGGAGGAAGGGCAGUAAGUUAAUACCUUGCUGUUUUGACGUUACCAACAGAAUAAGCACCGGCUAACUUCGUGCCAGCAGCCGCGGUAAUACGAAGGGUGCAAGCGUUAAUCGGAUUUACUGGGCGUAAAGCGCGCGUAGGUGGUUCAGCAAGUUGGAUGUGAAAUCCCCGGGCUCAACCUGGGAACUGCAUCCAAAACUACUGAGCUAGAGUACGGUAGAGGGUGGUGGAAUUUCCUGUGUAGCGGU